Molecule: long non-coding RNA, 502 nt
Organism: Carassius auratus (goldfish)
Lineage: Eukaryota; Metazoa; Chordata; Actinopteri; Cypriniformes; Cyprinidae
Exons: 5
Source: RefSeq, a predicted model, not a curated record
AUCGCCUCAGUCUGCGCAUGCGCACGGAGUAUAAAAGGCGGGUUCGCAUGUUCUUUCUUCCCAGUUCCUUCUUUCUUAGCCAGGUAUGUGGGCUGUUGGACCAUGGAGUUGUGCUGUAGUGCUUACUCAGACUCUGACCGACACUGUUGACCCUUUCUAACAAAUAAGCCAAAUGCUCUGAGCAACCAUGUAGCUGCCACAAUCUGGUAAUUGUGGUUUUUAAGGUCACUCACUGACCUACUACUACUACUAUUCCAACAGAUCAUACUGGAGCCGAAUGGAUGACCUCAAAUUCAUCAGACUUUGUUUCAUAAGUCAUUCACACCUUUUAAAACAGGAAGAAUUCUGGAGGACCAGAGGGACAUCACAUGAUGAGUGACCUUUGAAUGGACACAUGUGAAGGCAUUUGAGAGACCUUCAUUUUGAAGACUCUGCACUGUCCAUGUGGAGAAGUUGAAGUACAUAAUGGCCCUUCAGUCCAGUGUUUACCAGUUAUGGGGGG